Molecule: ribosomal RNA, 135 nt
Filed under: uncultured marine bacterium
Lineage: Bacteria
Description: partial 16S ribosomal RNA
Rfam family: Bacterial small subunit ribosomal RNA
Source: RNAcentral
UGGGGAAUCUUAGACAAUGGGCGAAAGCCUGAUCUAGCCAUGCCGCGUGAGUGAUGAAGGUCUUAGGAUCGUAAAGCUCUUUCGCUAGGGAUGAUAAUGACAGUACCUAGUAAAGAAGCCCCGGCUAACUCCGUG